RNAcentral lists this ribosomal RNA (322 nucleotides) under uncultured bacterium. RNAcentral's name for it is "bacterial SSU rRNA". It matches the Rfam family "Bacterial small subunit ribosomal RNA", at positions 28 to 346 of the family's 1533-position model. The record is from RNAcentral.
GAUGAACGCUAGCGGCAGGCCUAAUACAUGCAAGACGAACGGUAAGUUGAGUAGCAAUACUUAGCCAAGAGUGUCGUACGGGUGCGUAACACGUAUGCAACCUACCCUAUACAGGAGGAUAGCCUAGGGAAACCUGGAUUAACCCUUCAUAGUAUUAUUGGAUGGCAUCAUUUGAUAAUUAAAACUGAGGUGGUAUAGGAUGGGCAUGCGUCUGAUUAGUUAGUUGGCGGGGUAAAUGGCCCACCAAGACGAUGAUCAGUAGGGGUUCUGAGAGGAAGAUCCCCCACACUGGCACUGAGAUACGGGCCAGACUCCUACGGGA